Molecule: long non-coding RNA, 997 nt
Organism: Pseudopipra pipra
Lineage: Eukaryota; Metazoa; Chordata; Aves; Passeriformes; Pipridae
Exons: 2
Source: RefSeq, a predicted model, not a curated record
GGGCCGGGGCGGGGGUCGCGGCCGCGCUGCCCUGCGGGGUAAGGUGUGCCGUGCACCGCGGGUGAGGUGUGCUGUGCACCCUGGGUGAGGUGUGCUGUGCACCCCGGGUAAGGUGUGCUGUGCACCCUGGGUGAGGUGUGCUGUGCACCCCGGGUAAGGUGUGCCGUGCACCGCGGGUGAGGUGUGCUGUGCACCGCGGCCUCUCUCUGCCCUCAGAGGCCUCUGAGUCUCGCUCCGACACUGAGGUCUGGUUGAUCCCGUCUUAGCCGAGAUACCUGUCCCGGGAGGGCAGGUGAGGACGGCAGGGAUCCUACACGGCGCCGCAGUCAGUGGGCAGAGACAGCCCCGGGCAGCACCUGGGGCUGCUCCUGCUCACGCAUCCCUCCUUCCUGGGCUGCUGGAGGAGCUGAGGGAUGGAGCUUCUGCCUGCGAGUCUGGAUGUGGCCAAGGUCCUGCACUGGGUGAGCACAGAUCCCCUCGGCGGUGACUGGUUCCUGGACCAAACAGCUGAUUCCCAACAGGAAUCAUCCUGAGUUAAACCUGAAUCCUGCACCCUUCUAUGGACUAUGGCUGACUAUGGGAGUGCUUUGAGACCAGAGCUUCCCCCUCUCUACCCCGGAGUUAAUUAUUAGGGGGAUUUUUGCAUUUAAUUUAAAAAUGAGUUUAACUUUGCCUCAAAUACUAUUUUUCAGCCUAAUUGAAACAUAGUGUGUGUGUCUUCUAAUUGCUUUGAAGAACCUAAUAAGCGGCUCCGUAAAAUCUAAAGGCUAAAAGCUGGAGGGUUUUAAUAAAUUUAACAUUAGCUUAACAUCUCCACAGGGACUGUAAAAUAUCUACUCAUAAGGAUAUUUGCUUGAGCUAAGCCAUUCAAUUUAUCCCUGCAGGUUAGCAUGUAUGUGAUAUGCGAACACUCCAAUUUUUUUAUUUUUCUCAUUAUUUUAGAACUUUUUUCCAAUUUUUCAAAUAUUUUAAAAUAAAAGUUGUUUUUACUUUUAAA